UGGGGAAUAUUGCACAAUCGGCGCAAGCCUGAUGCAGCCAUGCCGCGUGUGUGAAGAAGGCCUUCGGGUUGUAAAGUACUUUCAGCGGGGAGGAAGGGAGUAAAGUUAAUACCUUUGCUCAUUGACGUUACCCGCAGAAGAAGCACCGUCUAACUCCGUGCCAGCAGCCGCGGUAAUACGGAGGGUGCAAGCGUUAAUCGGAAUUACUGGGCGUAAAGCGCACGCAGGCGGUUUGUUAAGUCGGAUGUGAAAUCACCGGGCUUAACACGGGAAUGGCAUCUGAAAAUGGUCAGCUAGAGUGUGGUAGAGGGGGGUAGAAUUCCAUGUGUAGCAGUGAAAUGCGUAGAAAUGUGGAGGAAUACCGGUGGCGAAGACGGCCACCUGGACAAAGACUGACGCUCAGGUGCGAAAGCGUGGGGAGCAAACAGG
RNAcentral lists this ribosomal RNA (429 nucleotides) under Chloroflexota bacterium. Its description in RNAcentral is "Chloroflexi bacterium partial 16S ribosomal RNA". It matches the Rfam family "Bacterial small subunit ribosomal RNA", at positions 355 to 776 of the family's 1533-position model. The record is from RNAcentral. Lineage: Bacteria; Bacillati; Chloroflexota.